UACGGGAGGCAGCAGUGGGGAAUAUUGCACAAUGGGCGCAAGCCUGAUGCAGCCAUGCCGCGUGUAUGAAGAAGGCCUUCGGGUUGUAAAGUACUUUCAGUCGUGAGGAAGGUGUUAAGGUUAAUAACCUUAGCAAUUGACGUUAGCGACAGAAGAAGCACCGGCUAACUCCGUGCCAGCAGCCGCGGUAAUACGGAGGGUGCGAGCGUUAAUCGGAAUUACUGGGCGUAAAGGGCACGCAGGCGGUUAAUUAAGUUGGAUGUGAAAUCCCCGGGCUUAACCUGGGAAUGGCAUUCAAGACUGGUUAGCUAGAGUCUUGUAGAGGGGGUAGAAUUCCAUGUGUAGCGGUGAAAUGCGUAGAGAUGUGGAGGAAUACCGGUGGCGAAGGCGGCCCCUGGGCAAAGGCUGACGCUCGAUGUGCGAAAGCGUGGGGAGCGAAACAGGGAUUAGAU
RNAcentral lists this ribosomal RNA (452 nucleotides) under uncultured bacterium. RNAcentral describes it as "bacterial SSU rRNA". It matches the Rfam family "Bacterial small subunit ribosomal RNA", at positions 340 to 783 of the family's 1533-position model. The record is from RNAcentral.